This 389-nucleotide unclassified non-coding RNA is filed under the name uncultured Ascomycota. RNAcentral describes it as "sequence contains ITS2". The stretch from base 1 to 154 matches the Rfam family "5.8S ribosomal RNA". The record is from RNAcentral. Lineage: Eukaryota; Fungi; Ascomycota.
AACUUUUGGCGACGGAUCUCUUGGUUCUGGCAUCGAUGAAGAACGCAGCGAAAUGCGAUAAGUAAUGUGAAUUGCAGAAUUCAGCGAAUCAUCGAAUCUUUGAACGCACAUUUCGCCUCCGGGUAUUCCCGGAGGCAUGCUUGUUCGAGCGUCGUUAAAGACCAUAAGGCUUUGCCUUGCGAUGAGCCAUUGAUUUUUAUGUUUUUACGAAACAAAAAGAGUUGAUGGCUUCAAACUGAUUGGCGUCUGAAGUUUAGCCCAAGCACAGCAAAAUGUGUCUGAAAGUUAGACGAGAAAAGACUUUGCCUUGUACACCAAAUUUUUAAAGGUCGACCUCGGAUCAAGCAAGAUUACCCGCUGAACUUAAGCAUAUCAAUAAGCGGAGGCCU